CCCACUCCCACUAAGUGCGAUUAUACUGGGUUGUUGUUGUUGUUGUCUCAUAGGAAUGUUAAUGCUGCUUCAUUUUUCUAUUAUCGUUUGUCAGGAACUUGACAAGGCAAUGGACAAGGAAGAAUUUCGCAUAUUCAGUGAAAAGAUUUUGUCCAUGAUUAGCCAAUGAAGACUUAAACAGAAGCAUGAUUUCUUGACUAUGAAUGGUAUUGUAACAAUGGAAGAUUUUCCCCCAUGUUUCAGAAGCUAUCGUUAAGUUGUUCGGGCACGGGAUCAUAUCUACCAAGAAGAUUUUGCUAGGAUCAUGUAACUGCAGACAGUUCACAGAUUUAGCAUCUCCUUAAACACUGUGCUUAGGCAAAACAAUCUGAUUUUCUCCCCGCAGCUUAGUUCAUUCUAAGCUUCGCGAGCCCGUGGAUUUUUCCCUUUGCUUCUGUUUCCAAUUAUUUGUACCUUGAAUGAAACGUGUAGAUAACUUUUUUUUUUUUAAUUUAUGAAAGUUCAGACAAAAUAUUUCCUUUCUCUUUUAGACCAAGGGUGAAACCAGGAAAGAAAGAUAUGAUUAUCUUGCAGCA
Nicotiana tabacum (common tobacco) is the source of this 575-nucleotide non-coding RNA. NCBI's taxonomy places the organism in Eukaryota, Viridiplantae, Streptophyta, Magnoliopsida, Solanales, Solanaceae. The record is from RefSeq and is a predicted model, not a curated record.